Molecule: unclassified non-coding RNA, 335 nt
Filed under: soil metagenome
Description: partial contains 5.8S ribosomal RNA, internal transcribed spacer 2, and large subunit ribosomal RNA
Rfam family: 5.8S ribosomal RNA (bases 1-120)
Source: RNAcentral
GAUGAAGAACGCAGCGAAAUGCGAUAAGUAAUGUGAAUUGCAGAAUUCAGUGAAUCAUCGAAUCUUUGAACGCACAUUGCGCCCGCCAGUAUUCUGGCGGGCAUGCCUGUUCGAGCGUCAUUUCAACCAUCAAGCCCCCGGCUUGUGUUGGGGACCUGCGGCUGCCACAGGCCCUGAAAACCAGUGGCGGGCUCGCUAGUCACUCCGAGCGUAGUAAUACAUCUCGCUCAGGGCGUGCUGCGGGUUCCGGCCGUUAAAAGCCUUAUUUUACCCAAGGUUGACCUCGGAUCAGGUAGGAAGACCCGCUGAACUUAAGCAUAUCAAUAAGCGGAGGA